UAACCUAAUACAUUCGAUAAUAAAGCACCGAACUCCGUUGACCGAACGGUUUUACCGCCAAAAACCUUUUGAGGGUUUGACAUUUGUCGUUGUCGUCUCCAAAGUCGCAAAAGGCUAAAUGAAAAUGUAAAAGUUUGGUGUUUGCUCAGUGCUCUGUUGACAAGUUAGAGAAACACGUGUUGGUGUUUUUGUUGUGACAGGAAGUCUUUGGAAAAAGAACAGGAACUUGUCAUUAAGAUGAAACGAGUUAAACAAAUACUACACGUCAUGUCUCAAAAACAAUACCCAUCUUAACUUCAUAUUGUUCUAUGUUCUCUGGAUUAGACAAGAUGACGGAUAAAAAAAUUUUUUUUGUAAAACCUGGUAGAUAAUUAUCCUAGGUGACACAAAUGCUAUUUUCUAUAUUUUUGACCACUUUUGUUCCUCUGCGCCUCCAUUGAUUUAGUCGCCCAUAUUUUGGCCAUUCUAACAAGGAUAAAAAACAGAUCGAACUACGAUAGAGACGUGGAGGUUUGGACUGAUCGAGACGUGGAGGUUUGGACUACGAUAGAGACGUGGAGGUUUGGACUACGAUAGAGACGUGGAGGUUUGGACUACGAUAGAGACGUGGAGGUUUGGACUACGAUAGAGACGUGGAGGUUUGGACUACGAUAGAGACGUGGAGGUUUGGACUACGAUAGAGACGUGGAGGUUUGGACUGAUAGAGACGUGGAGGUUUGGACUACGAUAGAGACGUGGAGGUUUGGACUACGAUAGAGACGUGGAGGUUUGGACUACGAUAGAGACGUGGAGGUUUGGACUGAUAGAGACGUGGAGGUUUGGACUGAUAGAGACGUGGAGGUUUGGACUACGAUAGAGACGUGGAGGUUUGGACUACGAUAGAGACGUGGAGGUUUGGACUGAUAGAGACGUGGAGGUUUGGACUACGAUAGAGACGUGGAGGUUUGGACUGAUAGAGACGUGGAGGUUUGGACUACGAUAGAGACGUGGAGGUUUGGACUACGAUAGAGACGUGGAGGUUUGGACUGAUAGAGACGUGGAGGUUUGGACUACGAUAGAGACGUGGAGGUUUGGACUGAUAGAGAUGUGGAGGUUUGGACUACGAUAGAGACGUGGAGGUUUGGACUGAUCGAGACGUGGAGGUUUGGACUACGAUAGAGACGUGGAGGUUUGGACUGAUAGAGACGUGGAGGUUUGGACUACGAUAGAGACGUGGAGGUUUGGACUGAUCGAGACGUGGAGGUUUGGACUGAUCGAGACGUGGAGGUUUGGACUGAUCGAGACGUGGAGGUUUGGACUACGAUAGAGACGUGGAGGUUUGGACUGAUAGAGACGUGGAGGUUUGGACUACGAUAGAGACGUGGAGGUUUGGACUGAUCGAGACGUGGAGAGAGAGAGAGAGAGAGACAGAGAGAGACAGAGACAGAGAGAGACAGAGACAGAGAUAAAUCCUAUGCACCCGUGUGUAAAGACAUCUGUAUAAAUUAUACGGCUGUCGCUCAUCUCCCAGUCUUCACCUCAUCUACUACUUAGAUUUAAAUAAUGAUCACAUUUUUGAUGGCCUCUCCCUCGAUCUAGAGAGAAGCCUAUAACUCGUCAGUAUUACAGUUCUCCAUAUAGUAUAGAGAGAGAGACUGUUCUCCAUAGAGUAUAGAGAGAGAGAGAGAGAGAGACUGUUCUCCAUAUAGUAUAGAGACAUCUAUUCCAGUGUUUCAGGAAGUACCAGAUGUCAUCGUCCAAUUGAAACCCUUUAAGUGAAAAGGAUAAACAGUCCUGUUAGUGCAGCGAACCGCAGAACAUAAGACAUCCAGCAGAACCGGGCCCCCUUUGAGAACAUGAAAAGGUGACUACCAUAAUAACACA
Oncorhynchus tshawytscha (Chinook salmon) is the source of this 1863-nucleotide long non-coding RNA. RefSeq lists it as uncharacterized. The transcript has 3 exons. The record is from RefSeq and is a predicted model, not a curated record. NCBI's taxonomy places the organism in Eukaryota, Metazoa, Chordata, Actinopteri, Salmoniformes, Salmonidae.